GAUGAACGCUGGCGGCGGGCCUAAUACAUGCAAGUCGAGCGAACGGACGAGAAACUUGCCCCUCUGACGUUAGCGGCGGAGGGGUGAGUAACAUGCGGAGAACCCAGCUCAUAGACUGGGAUAACUUCGGGAAACCGGAGCUUAUACCGGCUAAUAUAUUGCACCGCAAGGUUGAGUAGUGAAAGACGGUUUUGCGGUGGCUUAUACAUUGACCCGCGACGCAUUAGCUAGUUGGUAAGGUAACGGCUUACCAAGGCAACGAUUCGUAGCCGACCUGAGAGGGUGAUCGGCCACACUGGAACUGAGACACGGUCCAGACUCCUACGGGAGGCAGCAGUAGGGAAUCUUCCGCAAUGGGCGAAAGCCUGACGGAGCAACGCCGCGUGAGUGAUGAAGGUCUUCGGAUCGUAAAACUCUGUUAUUAGGGAAGAACAAAUGUGUGAGUAACUAUGCACGUCUUGACGGUACCUAAUCAGAAAGCCACGGCUAACUACGUG
This 497-nucleotide ribosomal RNA is filed under the name uncultured bacterium. Its description in RNAcentral is "partial 16S ribosomal RNA". It matches the Rfam family "Bacterial small subunit ribosomal RNA", at positions 28 to 507 of the family's 1533-position model. The record is from RNAcentral.